UAGGGAAUCUUCGGCAAUGGACGAAAGUCUGACCGAGCAACGCCGCGUGAGUGAAGAAGGUUUUCGGAUCGUAAAACUCUGUUGUUAGAGAAGAACAAGGACGUUAGUAACUGAACGUCCCCUGACGGUAUCUAACCAGAAAGCCACGGCUAACUACGUGCCAGCAGCCGCGGUAAUACGUAGGAGGCAAGCGUUGUCCGGAUUUAUUGGGCGUAAAGCGAGCGCAGGCGGUUUCUUAAGUCUGAUGUGAAAGCCCCCGGCUCAACCGGGGAGGGUCAUUGGAAACUGGGAGACUUGAGUGCAGAAGAGGAGAGUGGAAUUCCAUGUGUAGCGGUGAAAUGCGUAGAUAUAUGGAGGAACACCAGUGGCGAAGGCGGCUCUCUGGUCUGUAACUGACGCUGAGGCUCGAAAGCGUGGGGAGCAAACAGG
RNAcentral lists this ribosomal RNA (429 nucleotides) under Chloroflexota bacterium. RNAcentral's name for it is "Chloroflexi bacterium partial 16S ribosomal RNA". It matches the Rfam family "Bacterial small subunit ribosomal RNA", at positions 355 to 776 of the family's 1533-position model. Lineage: Bacteria; Bacillati; Chloroflexota. RNAcentral also lists the same sequence under 1 other name. The record is from RNAcentral.